UGCGUAGGUGGCAGUGCAAGUCAGAUGUGAAAGGCCGGGGCUCAACCCCGGAGCUGCAUUUGAAACUGCAUAGCUAGAGUACAGGAGAGGCAGGCGGAAUUCCUAGUGUAGCGGUGAAAUGCGUAGAUAUUAGGAGGAACACCAGUGGCGAAGGCGGCCUGCUGGACUGUUACUGACACUGAGGCACGAAAGCGUGGGGAGCAAACA
RNAcentral lists this ribosomal RNA (207 nucleotides) under uncultured bacterium. RNAcentral describes it as "partial 16S ribosomal RNA". It matches the Rfam family "Bacterial small subunit ribosomal RNA", at positions 568 to 774 of the family's 1533-position model. The record is from RNAcentral.